GAUGAACGCUGGCGGCGUGCCUAAUACAUGCAAGUCGAGCGAACAGACGAGGAGCUUGCUCCUCUGACGUUAGCGGCGGACGGGUGAGUAACACGUGGAUAACCUACCUAUAAGACUGGGAUAACUUCGGGAAACCGGAGCUAAUACCGGAUAAUAUAUUGAACCGCAUGGUUCAAUAGUGAAAGACGGUUUUGCUGUCACUUAUAGAUGGAUCCGCGCCGCAUUAGCUAGUUGGUAAGGUAACGGCUUACCAAGGCAACGAUGCGUAGCCGACCUGAGAGGGUGAUCGGCCACACGGGAACUGAGACACGGUCCAGACUCCUACGGGAGGCAGCAGUAGGGAAUCUUCCGCAAUGGGCGAAAGCUUGACGGAGCAAAGCCGCGUGAGUGAUGAAGGUCUUCGGAUCGUAAAACUCUGUUAUUAGGGAAGAACAAAUGUGUAAGUAACUAUGCACGUCUUGACGGUACCUAAUCAGAAAGCCACGGCUAACUACGUG
This 497-nucleotide ribosomal RNA is filed under the name uncultured bacterium. RNAcentral's name for it is "partial 16S ribosomal RNA". It matches the Rfam family "Bacterial small subunit ribosomal RNA", at positions 28 to 507 of the family's 1533-position model. The record is from RNAcentral.